UACAGAGGGUGCGAGCGUUAAUCGGAAUUACUGGGCGUAAAGCGCGCGUAGGCGGCUUUGCAAGUCGGGUGUGAAAUCCCCAGGCUUAACCUGGGAACUGCAUUCGAGACUGCAUUGCUAGAGUAUGGGAGAGGGAAGUGGAAUUUCCGGUGUAGCGGUGAAAUGCGUAGAUAUCGGAAGGAACAUCAGUGGCGAAGGCAGCCCCCUGGGUCAAGACUGACGCUCAUGCACGAAAGCGUGGGGAGCAAACAGG
Molecule: ribosomal RNA, 253 nt
Filed under: uncultured bacterium
Lineage: Bacteria
Description: partial 16S ribosomal RNA
Rfam family: Bacterial small subunit ribosomal RNA
Source: RNAcentral